AUUGAACGCUGGCGGCAUGCUUUACACAUGCAAGUCGAACGAGUGGCGGACGGGUGAGUAAUAUCUCGGAAAGUGCCUGAUGAUGGGGGAUAACUACUGGAAACAUUAGCUAAUACCGCAUAUUAUUAGAUGUGCCAAGAUGUGAUUAGCUGGUUGGUGGGGUAACGGCGCACCACGGCGACGAUCACUAGCUGGUCUGAGAGGAUGACCAGCCACACUGGAAAUGAGAAACGGCCCAGACUCCUACGGGAGGCAGCAGUGGGGAAUUUUGGACAAUGGGCGCAAGCCUGAUGCAGCCAUGCCGCGUGUAUGAAGAAGGCCUUCGGGUUGUAAAGGACUUUCAGCGGGGAAGCGUUACCCGCAGAAGAAGCACCGGCUAACUCCGUGCCAGCAGCCGCGGUAAUUC
RNAcentral lists this ribosomal RNA (406 nucleotides) under uncultured bacterium. RNAcentral describes it as "partial 16S ribosomal RNA". It matches the Rfam family "Bacterial small subunit ribosomal RNA", at positions 30 to 526 of the family's 1533-position model. The record is from RNAcentral.